RNAcentral lists this ribosomal RNA (519 nucleotides) under uncultured eukaryote. Its description in RNAcentral is "bacterial SSU rRNA". The stretch from base 14 to 424 matches the Rfam family "Eukaryotic small subunit ribosomal RNA", at positions 1174 to 1613 of the family's 1831-position model. The record is from RNAcentral.
AAGGGCACACCUGGAGUGGAGCCUGCGGCUUAAUCUGGCUCAACGCGGGAAAACUCACCCGGUCCGGACACCGUAAGGAUUGACAGACCGAUAGAUCUUUCUUGGUUCGGUGGAUGGUGGUGCAUGGCCGUUCUUAGUUGGUGGAGUGAUUUGUCUGGUUAAUUCCGAUAACGAACGAGACUCUAGCCUGCUAACUAGUGUAACUCUCUUGUUGGAGUUUGCACUUCUUAGAGGGACAAGUGGCGUUUAGCCUCGCGAAAAUGAGCAAUAACAGGUCUGUGAUGCCCUUAGAUGUCCGGGGCCGCACGCGCGCUACACUGGAGGAGCCAACGUGUUUUAUCCUAUCCCGGAAGGGAUGGGUAACCCGUUGAAACUCCUUCUCGCUUGGAAUAGAGGCUUGGAAUUAUUACACAAAGAUUAAUUUUUUUUAAUAAAUGAAAAUCACAAAAAAAAAGGAAAUAAGAAAAUGGCGUUUUUAUUACAGACCAUCCUACUACUUAUAUCCACAUUAAAAUAAAU